CGCACAGCUCGGGCGCGCAGUCCGGGGUUAGGCAGGCUGCAGUGGAGGAGGGUACGCCGUUCCAUUGGCGUGGUACUGUCGGCGGCCCUUCAGAGGAGAUGCUGCCCCACGGAACGCCUGGCAAGUGCUGGCGAAGCGGCAUGGGCGUCCCACUCCGUUCCUCAACCAAUUUCCUCACAAUCGCGAGCCGAAGUGUGGCGCUUUGGCAGUUUCGCAAGGUCUUUUGUCAGGAGAUGAGUUACUGAGGAUUGGGGGUCUUUGGAGCUCUUGGACCUGAAGAACGAUUAAGUUUUUCUCCCUUCAGAGAGCCAAGAGAUGGGGUCUUGCUGUGUUGCCCAGGGUGGAGUGCAGUGGCUAUUCACAGGUGUGAUCAUAGCUACUAUAGCCUCAAACCCUGGGUUCAAGUGAGUCCUUUGAACUAGAACAUUGGCCUUUUCUGGUUCUGCAGAAGCUUCCAGCCUUCAGAUUUGAACUGGGACACUGGCUCUGCAGAUUUUGGACUUGCCAGCCUUCAUAAUUGUGGUCCUGCUCUGUUGCCCAGGCUGGAGGGCAGUGGCGUGAUCAUGGCUUACUGCAGCCUUGACCUCCUGCGCUCAAGUGAUCCUCCUGCCUCAGCCUCCUGGAACAUGUGGUUUUGAGCUUCAGAGCUCAGUGGCCUCAGACAGGGGCGUUGUGGCUGCAGUGUCCACUGCCUGCCCAGAGAACCUACACUCCUGUCAUUUGUGGAAUGAUUGCUGGAGCCAGAGGCCAGGAAGAAGUUCAUGAGCCUGAGAGAAAAAGCAAGGAUUUCCAGUUCUACCCUCUUGGACUUGACCCUCUGCAGGCUCUCCACAUGCUCCGUCAGCUCGGCCAUGGAGUCCACGUGCUUCUUGCGCAGUGUGGAGGCCGUCGCCUCGCUCUGCAGGGCGGCCUCUUCCAGCUCCCGCCGCAGCUUCAGCAGCUCAGCCUCCCGCUUGCGGUUCUGCUCGAUCUGGGGUAGAGGAGGAGCAGCUUAGCAGAACUGGCCAGUGCCAGCCUUUUCCGGGUGGACACCGCCCAGCUGCUCGGUGGUCCCC
Long non-coding RNA from Homo sapiens (human), 1055 nucleotides. The record is from Ensembl. NCBI's taxonomy places the organism in Eukaryota, Metazoa, Chordata, Mammalia, Primates, Hominidae.